Molecule: ribosomal RNA, 405 nt
Filed under: uncultured bacterium
Lineage: Bacteria
Description: bacterial SSU rRNA
Rfam family: Bacterial small subunit ribosomal RNA
Source: RNAcentral
GGGGAAUAUUGCACAAUGGGCGGAAGCCUGAUGCAGCGACGCCGCGUGGGGGAUGACGGUCUUCGGAUUGUAAACCCCUUUCAGUAGGGACGAAGCGCAAGUGACGGUACCUGCAGAAGAAGCACCGGCCAACUACGUGCCAGCAGCCGCGGUAAUACGUAGGGUGCGAGCGUUGUCCGGAAUUACUGGGCGUAAAGAGCUCGUAGGCGGUUUGUCGCGUCGUCUGUGAAAUCCUCCAGCUUAACUGGGGGCGUGCAGGCGAUACGGGCAGACUUGAGUACUACAGGGGAGACUGGAAUUCCUGGUGUAGCGGUGAAAUGCGCAGAUAUCAGGAGGAACACCGGUGGCGAAGGCGGGUCUCUGGGUAGUAACUGACGCUGAGGAGCGAAAGCAUGGGUAGCGAAC